Pectinophora gossypiella (pink bollworm) is the source of this 4424-nucleotide long non-coding RNA. RefSeq lists it as uncharacterized. The transcript has 2 exons. NCBI's taxonomy places the organism in Eukaryota, Metazoa, Arthropoda, Insecta, Lepidoptera, Gelechiidae. The record is from RefSeq and is a predicted model, not a curated record.
GUUGAAAAUCGACCGGUGUUUUAGUGAAAUGUAAAAUUUGAAAAAGUAUAAUAUUUUUUUUAUAUUUGCCUUUUUUUUCGGUUACAAAUUAUACAUCUUGCUAUGGAUGUACAAUCAAAUAGCAAAAGUUCAGUCACUGAACCCAGCGAAUUAUUUGUAAACAAUGGUCAAAAUUAUGAACCAUUAGUUGUCAUAAUUAUAAAAUUUAUGUUUUUGUAGGUGUUUUUGGUCUAUUACAGAAACGACAUGUAACCAGGAGGUCUUAAGUGCAACCAGUUAAUUUAUUACUUUGCAAGAAACUGAUUGGACUUUUGCAGCUUAAGUACCGCAGAAUGUCCCAAUUGGUAUAUAAUUGUGAGCAUCAUCAGGCCUCAUGUAUAUUUUCCAAAUCAUUUAUGAUGUGUCUAAGAGACACUAUUCAGGGUGUUAGUGACACCGUAACGAAUACUGAGGGGGAUGAUUCAGACCAUGAUUCAGAGUUGAUAUCAAGUGGAUAUCUCUGUCGCAAAUUUUGUUUUUCAAUUAUUUUCAAUUCUAUACUUUUGCGAUGGAAAAUAUCAACUCAGGAUCAUAGUCUGAAUCAUCCCACAAAGUUUUCGUUACGUCACUAACACCGUGUAUAGAAAAAUCUCACUAAAAAGUUAGAAGUAUAAAAAGGCAAAAAGUACUGUUUGGAAAAGAAUGGAAAAUAUAAAUUAGAUAAUUAUGUAAAUAAUAAGCUAACAAACAUGUUAUAUCAAAUACUGGCUUUUGUCAAUUGUUGUAAGUUAGAAAACGCGGGAAUCGAAACAUUAGUUUUUAAAUAAGGCAAAGGAAUGACAUUCCAUUAAGCCUAUAAUGCCAUUGAUAAAUAUUUUUUAAAUGGUGAAAGAAAUCGAUUUUUAAGAGUAGUCGAAUAAAAAUAAUAUUUAAGACUCACAAUUUUACGAUAAUAUUAUUAUUUGCGGAAAAGGUAACAUUACUAAUAUCCAUUGAAAAUAUUCAAAAUGUGAAAAGAAAUAAAUUAUAUUGUAAAACUCUGAUUUUAUUCGAAUAUAAAAUUUUAUGUUUUGCAGAUUAGUUAUAGAGAGGUCCGUUUAGACGUAUAAUUCUGUUUUUAUAACGGUAUAUAAUUCUUCCAGUCAUUUUUAAACAGGCCAUAGAAUAAAGAAGACUACGUCAUCAUCAUCAUCAAUUUAAGAGCCACGCUCUUGUCGGUGCAGCGUUUUCCAUGCUACUUUUUUAGGGAAAAAUAGAGCAGUGGUUUCCCUCUUGCCUUCCGCAGUACUCUGUCUGACGCGAGUGGGAUGGCGCCCAGAGUAGUCUAUUUCAAAGCCGUACUAGGACUCCUGUCCUCCGCCUCUGAAUAGUACUGACAGUUACUGCUACCCUCUGCCAGGUGCGUACUACAUAUAGAACGGUAAUUAAUUCCCCUCUCACACACAGAUUAUGCGUCUAAAUUUGACAGUCUCGCUAGGGUUGUCGGAGAACCAGAAAAAUCCGUUUAUUGCCAUCUUUUUCGGUAAAGAGAGCAUUUAAAAAAUAAAGUUAAAAAAAAUACACUACAGGUGUUCUUUUUUUAGAUUGAUGGUGAGGCACAGGAAUAAACCUGUUCAGCCCGUAAUAAAUUUAUCUUAAUAAAAUACUCGUAUUUUUUUAUAUAGCCCUAAAUUAUUAUUUUUUUCUAAUCUACAACCCCUAAGAAAACUAAAAUUUCAUAACAUUACUUACGAAUUUAAAAUCAGAGUUAAUAAAAAAAUAUGUUUCCAAGUGUGAUCUUGACUGCCAUCUUAAAAAAAGUAUUAAUUUUAUAACGAUUUGCAUUUAGUGUCAUUCCAUUUUUUUUUAGAUGAAAAUGUGAUGUAUCUCAACUUUUGAAUUCGUUUUUUUUAUUGCACAAAUAUAUUUUUUUAAUAUUGAUCAUUGAAACAACCGUCUAUACAGUCCUUGGAGGGGGUAUGGAGCAUACUCCACCACGCUGCUCCACUGCGGGUUGGUGUGUGGGUCAAUAAUUGACCCAUUUGCUCGUGCUUAGUCUACCUUAAGAUCUUCGACUGGGCUUAAAAAGUAGAAUGAAGAAUUGUUUUUUUUUUAAUUAAGAUGGAUUUGCUCUUAACUUCGUUCUUCCACGAGGAGAAGAGAUCGGCAGUGGAACGAGCUUACCCAGAAAAUGCCUAUUCACCCGUGAUUUACACAUAUAGAACGGUAACUCUCCCCGCACCAAUUCGUACCGGGCUCCGACCUCAUCCCCUCUGGGUCUUAUUUUAGUCUCAAAUAGCCGUAAGCUUAGGAGUGAGAGGGAGCUAGUAACUGUCGGUUUCACUCGCACUUACUCGUUGGAUUGUCUGGGAUGUGGUUAAAAAUAGUAUUAAGUUUUAUCAAUUCCCGGUCAAAAAGAUGUUAUUCAGAAAAUAUUUGUGCAAUAAUUUACUAAUACAUUAAUUAAUAUUGGCUGUUUCUUAGCUGUAAAGAAAUAUAAUAUUUACUCUCGGAUUUUACUCGAAAAAAAAAACAUUUUUAUUUACGAAGUAUCGACUCCUGAACACACAAUUUAAUCAAUAUAUCUUAUCAAUAAAUUGUGUCGAAAAUUAUUAUUCUAAUCAAUGGUUAUGUUUGUAUAUUAAAAGCGAGAUUCGAAUUAAACUAUGAAACCUCUUCCAUUUUUUCAAGUCGGUUAAAAAUUUUCAUAUUUUUAUUUUUACCCGACCGCGUAGUGAAAGGAAUUUUACCUUCAUACUUCGCUUAAUAGGAGUCGAUACAUUAAAUAUUUUGACAAUUACAUCGUACACGAUAUCCAAUAAUGCAACGGUUCAAAAAACGUAGUUUCGAAAAAAAAAUGUCUGUUCAUAGUGUAGUAAGGAGACUAACAAGUCUUCUAAAAAAAUACGGUUUUAACAUAACAAAUACUUUAUUGCACAAACAGGAAAUACAAAACACGAAACAAAAGAGGAAUAGAAAGAGUACAAUAGGCGGCUUUAUUGCUAAGUAGCGAUUUCUUCCAGACAACUUUUAAGUUUUAGUAAGGUUUUAUACAAAAUGACAAGCAAUAUUUUCUCUAACAACUGAAAAGCCCGUAAGAAAAAACCCGUGAUAAAUAGUAUAAUAUAAACACUGUUGGGAAUGUACUAAAAAGGCGUAAAAGUUAUAAUAAAGAAAGCUGUAUUACCUAGCCUUUAUGCAGAUAGUGUUACAGUGAAAAAUGGAACAAUAAAAAAAAAAACAAGUAGAUAAAAGUCAUAUCAAAAAACAGCCAGUGUCCUUAUUGUCAAAGAGUUUUUACAACAAGAAGAAAGCAUUCGAUUUUAUUAGUUUGAAUUCAUGUUUGGAAUUCAUAAUUGAUAUCACGUGGUUUCCAGGAUUUGUGCCCAGUUAAUGGCAAUAGGCUUACAUAGCUGGCGUGGAGUGGUGUAUGUACUAUACUCCUUUUAUGUUUUUUUAUGACUUGUUACAAUAUUGGAUGUCGUGUACGAUAGGUCGAUCGCGAUAACAUUACAUGAAAGUGUAAAUAUAGGUGACUUUUGUAAAAUGAUUCUUCUAUGAUAAGCAUGUCUUCGUAAGGUUUAAGUAAUCGUAGAGGCCAUUACGGUGGCACUGUCAAAUUCAAACGUCGAACUGUCAAAUGAGUUUGACGUUUCUUAGUGGGUGUUCGUUUCAUGUGCAACAAACAGGAUUUGAUGUCUAAUUACUACUUUUACUUACUUUUUUUCAAACUUCGAUAGCGCGUUUCAGGACUGCAUUAUUGAAUGGUGGCGCCAUCUGUUGCAUAUGGGCGGAACUAGUUAGUCAUCUAGUUGGGUCCGCCACAGUUUAAAUUAAAUUAAACUGUACGACAUUUUACGACUUUUUCGAAAUACUUGAAGUGGCUACAUCAAAAUUGACGCCAGGAUAAUAUUUUAUUUAAUUGUUUUCGAUAGAUCUAUAGAUGAUGUUAAAAAAUAUAUCUUGUCGGAUAUUUAUGAAACGAACAUGCCCGUAAAAAGUUCAGAAACCGUAAUGGCAUUGUACCAAUAAUUAAACGGUAAAAUAAUGUUUAAAUGUUAUGAACGAUUAACGUCCAUCAUGUUAAAGUAGUUUAUAAGUGUUUUUUUUUUCAAUAUUGUCACAAUUUUUCUUAAUUGUAGGUAACUCUUAUAAUAAAAUGUAUGUAUGAAUGGAUGUAUGUAUUUGGCUUAGGGAACGUUAAAUCGCAGUGUCUUUAAAAAAAAACAAGUUCAAAAAAAUAAUUUGUCUUGUGUGUAACUUGAAAGCAGGCUGAAUGUAAAAAGGUCUUUGCAAUAAUUUGAAAGUUCCCAAAAUGCGCGCCAAAUUUUUUUUAUCUGUAUUAGCGUACGGUCUCCGACCUAACAUGUAGAUAAUAACAUAUUUUUUAUUUAAUGUUCAAAAUUGUAUUGCCAUCAAUGAAAGACUAAUGUUAUUGUUAAUGACAUUACACUAUUAUCCAAGUA